This is a long non-coding RNA of Pseudopipra pipra, 3751 nucleotides long. RefSeq lists it as uncharacterized. The transcript is spliced from 3 exons. NCBI's taxonomy places the organism in Eukaryota, Metazoa, Chordata, Aves, Passeriformes, Pipridae. The record is from RefSeq and is a predicted model, not a curated record.
CGAGGGCAGCGCCAAGAUGGCGGCGCGCUGCCAGUACUCAACAUGGCGCCUGUGCCCGCGGUUGCGGCCGAAGUAAGAGUGUCGGUGUUUCCGUGGUUAUAUUACCUUAGCGGUGCUAAAAACGAGGGGAAAGCUCGUGCGUUGGCGGAUGAGAGGAGUGCAGUGCUGUAGGACUUACCAGGCCCAGCUCCCACAGUCUCUCCUCAGAGAGAUGCUCCAGACCCCUCAUCAUCUCUGUGGCCUCUCCUGGACCCUCUCCAGUAGCUCCUUGUCAUUCUUGUACUGCUUCUACACCUGGUAAUGCUUCUUAUCUCUGUGUAUGGGCAGGAGGCUGCAGGAGGGUGAGGUUUGUAGUGAUUUCUCAGUGUCACAAAGUUGUCUCAGUGUCUCCUCAGAGAAGUCCCACAAUGGGACCUGGAUUCCCAUUGAACUGACUGCUUUAAGUUUCCCAGUCUUCAAAAUGUAACUCUUGAUACUUGUGAAGGGUUUUGCUCCUGCUGUUGUUUUUUUUUUCCCACUAGUAAAUUGUAUCUGUUGCCAAUAUGUUGGUUUAUUCCAAGUUUAGUAAUACUUGGUAUUUUUAAGCCUUAGCUUUCAGCUUUGAUAGCUAUGAUGGUUAUAAGAAUUGAAUGCAAGGUGUUUUUGUAUAGCUUUUAUAAUUGUAAACAGAAUCCUCAAAAAAUUCAUGUCAUUGUUCAAAAACUCAGGGGGAUUUGCAAAGCAGAAAUAUCAGUGAUAAUCUUACAGUUCAACACUGAUGUCAUUCCCUUAGUGAACUGUGUAUCAGCUAAAUGUUGGGUUUGAAAAUCUGUUGUUUGGAGAGGAAAGUUUCUGGCUCAUUUCUGGCUGAGUGACUUUCCUGUCGAGGACAAGUAGGCUAGAUUUGGAAAAUCCUUUGUGUUUCAGUUAAAUAUCAUUCAUAUGGAAAAAGCUGUUCCUGUUCAAUCCAUGUCAGGCAGGAGGGGUGAAGUGCACACAUCUGUAGUUUAGUUUAACUUCUUAAAUUCCCGUCAUGUAAAUCAAUGUAUAACUUCACCUAUGAACGAUAUUUAGUCCUCUCUCCGUUGCACAGGAAUGUCCUUCCUGGAUGACAUCUGAUACCAACUGAUCUGCAAUUUUUGUGUAAUUCUGUUAAUGGGAAAAGGCACUGAGGAACUGCAGGAAUGAAUUGGCCUCCCUGUGAGUCACGAGGUCUUAAACUUAGAAAUUCAGCUGUGCAAUAAGCAUGUGAUCCCAUAAGCAUGCCAGGAGAAAUUCCCAGAGUGCCUGAUCCUCAACAGUUGGUUGGAAGCACCCCCAGCCCAGGGUUGUUUUGUGGCUGGACGGAAUUGGCUGCGAGUCCCGGUAGAAAUGAGCUCAUCCCAAGGAGUGAGCUCUGCCUGGUGUCCCCUGACCUCUGUGGGAACAGUGUGUGUGCAGCCUGCAGAGCACUGAUUUCAUGGAAUACAUGAAAUACCAGCUGCAGCCAAGAUUUAUUGCCCAAUUCUGAGUGCUGUGGGGUGGCCUGUGCAGUCACUGAGGUGAGGAGGCAUUUACAGCUGGCAGUGCCUUGCAGAACUGAUGUUCAGCCUGUAACAGUUUCUUCAGUUGCUUGCAACAAUUUGUUUUCACAGAGAAAUGCUUAUUUCUCCAUUUUAUUCAGAGUGUAAAUGUUUCAGGCGCAGAGAUAAAUGUUACAUGGAGGGAUGGAGGCCAAAUACAUCAAGAGUGGCCCUAAAAGCAAGUAAUGCCUUUAAGUGCUACCCUACUGUUGACAUAGGAAAGCUUUUAGGUGGUGAGGUUUUUGGGAAGUAGCUUUGCAAAGGUGGUAACUGUUACCUCCCCAGGGCACCUCAAAGCAGGAUGGUGCUCUCUUGUCUGAGGUUGUCAGGCCUGGUGUGAUGGUGGGUCGUGGAUCUGGUGUCCUGUGGGAAAAUGGCAUCCAUAGUUAAUGGAAAGCAGAGGGUGCUCUUGGCAAUAAAAUAUAUGGGAUAUUUAAUUAUCUAAUAAUUAGAUAAUAAUUAUUAGAUAAUAGAUAAUAAUUAGAUAAGUAUGGUCUUAUACUGAGCACUGAAACAGAGACUCUUUGCACACUCUUCAGUUUGUAUAAGUUUUUGCUCUUUUUGUUUGAAUCCUUAAAUUGAAAAUAAUUCAGUCCAGGUAUUCUUAAGCUAGAGGAUGAAAUAGGAAUACUUAAGGUUUGUACCAAAGAUGUCUUUAAUAUUUCUGCAAAUGUUUCAAUUUUCAUGCAGUUCUCUGGUUUUCAUUGUGAAUAUGAAGAAAUAUGGGGGAAAAUUUAAUCUACUGCCCUUUGAUGAUGUGCAGAAGCACAACCAGUCCUGUAACAGAUGAGUAACUUGGUUGCCCAGAGAGGUUGUAGAUCCCCAUCCCUGGAAGUGUCCAAAGCCAGGUUGGACAGGGCUUGGAGUAACCUGGUCUAGUGGAAGGUGUCCCUGCCCAUGGCAGGGGGUGGAACAAGAUGACCUUCAAAAGUCCCUUCCAACCCAAACUAUUCCAUGAUUCUGUGAAAUAAAAAAUACUUUAAAUAUGACCUGCACAGUUACAGAAACAUCCAAAACUGACAUGUCUUUUGAAGAAUCACAAUAUCAAUUUUGGAUAAUGAAUAAAAGCAUAAUCAUUAACAUGUGAAACAGAAGGAUUUUAGCAACACAUUCCUAAUUUAGAACUUUUUUCUCUGCUAUUUCCAUGAUGGUCAAUGCAACUGUGGCUGUUGUGUCCAGGUGGAAUAAGCUGGGAGGUUUGCACAGCUUUUUAGUAUGAAAAUACUCAUUCAAAGGAACAGGAAAGAUGAUGUCAAAUAAUGCUGCAUUCCAGCAUGGAAUUGCAAGGAAAUGCAAAUUCUUAGGUCGAAUAGGGAUUGCUCUGGAAUGGUUGUGGUGCUUUUAAAAAGCUUGGGUUAACAUGCUAAUGUGAAAUGUGAGAGUGUUUUCAAUGAAGAGGACAGACACAGAAAAUUAUUACCAAAGCUAUUACAGUUUUUACCUCAAGCCAGGAUUUAGUGAUUUUUUCCAGGGUAUAUGUAAAUAACCAGCAGCUUAUUUUUCUUUAAAUGGGCAGUAAGAUAGUUUCUGUUUGCUUUCAUUAUGGUAAAGGUAAGGAAUUCUUGAUUUCUUUGACCUCAAUGACAACUCGCCUGUAGUCUGUAAAUUAAAGAAGAAAAGCCCACAUUAUUUUUACAUUCUUGUCUGAGGUUGUCUUUAGUAUCCUUGAAAUGAAAGAAGUAGUUAGAGCUGUGUCCUUGGUGACAAACCUCUGUGGCCGUGCCUGUCUCCAGCCCUUGUGUUCAAAACCUGUGUGUGGAUUAACGCCUCAGAGUUCCCUGUAACAGGAGGGGAUUUCCCGGGGGCACUGGGGAAAGGAAAGUUGCGGUUCAGGCAGGAAAUUGCCCGUUCGUUGGAAGUUCUGCGGUUUGAUUUCUAAAAUGUCAUUUUACACUAGACAAACUUCCCUGCGCAGCUGUAGGCGUGUGGUGUGCGUGUUCACGGGGGCUAAAGGAGCAGCAAAAUGUGGAUUGAACCUUUCUGUCAAAGGACCGCGACCCGAGGCUUAGAAAGACAAGAAAUCACAAGCACCUUAAUUAAUAUCUUGGGGCCUCUGAGGCCGUGGGAGGCUGAUGUGCCCGUUUAAUAACGCUGGACAUGAGGGUGUGCAAUUGCUGCCCGGGAACAGCAUCGCGGUUACUUGUGUUUUGUUACGGAAACGCGAGACCGCAGCACCCCGGUUAAAUAAAAUGGUGAUGGGGCCGUAUUUA